RNAcentral lists this ribosomal RNA (553 nucleotides) under Bifidobacterium longum. RNAcentral describes it as "bacterial SSU rRNA". It matches the Rfam family "Bacterial small subunit ribosomal RNA", at positions 144 to 710 of the family's 1533-position model. The record is from RNAcentral. Lineage: Bacteria; Bacillati; Actinomycetota; Actinomycetes; Bifidobacteriales; Bifidobacteriaceae.
UCUCCCUGGGAAAAAGGGUGGUAAUGCCGGAUGCUCCAGUUGAUCGCAUGGUCUUCUGGGAAAGCUUUCGCGGUAUGGGAUGGGGUCGCGUCCUAUCAGCUUGACGGCGGGGUAACGGCCCACCGUGGCUUCGACGGGUAGCCGGCCUGAGAGGGCGACCGGCCACAUUGGGACUGAGAUACGGCCCAGACUCCUACGGGAGGCAGCAGUGGGGAAUAUUGCACAAUGGGCGCAAGCCUGAUGCAGCGACGCCGCGUGAGGGAUGGAGGCCUUCGGGUUGUAAACCUCUUUUAUCGGGGAGCAAGCGAGAGUGAGUUUACCCGUUGAAUAAGCACCGGCUAACUACGUGCCAGCAGCCGCGGUAAUACGUAGGGUGCAAGCGUUAUCCGGAAUUAUUGGGCGUAAAGGGCUCGUAGGCGGUUCGUCGCGUCCGGUGUGAAAGUCCAUCGCUUAACGGUGGAUCCGCGCCGGGUACGGGCGGGCUUGAGUGCGGUAGGGGAGACUGGAAUUCCCGGUGUAACGGUGGAAUGUGUAGAUAUCGAAAAAAAACACC